RNAcentral lists this ribosomal RNA (460 nucleotides) under uncultured Methylomirabilota bacterium. RNAcentral describes it as "bacterial SSU rRNA". It matches the Rfam family "Bacterial small subunit ribosomal RNA", at positions 977 to 1434 of the family's 1533-position model. Lineage: Bacteria; Methylomirabilota (SeqCode). The record is from RNAcentral.
GGGCUUGACAUCCCACGAAUCCCUUCGAAAGAAGGGAGUGCCCGCAAGGGAGCGCGGAGACAGGUGGUGCAUGGCUGUCGUCAGCUCGUGUCGUGAGAUGUUGGGUUAAGUCCCGCAACGAGCGCAACCCUCACCUCUUGUUGCCACCAGGUCAUGCUGGGCACUCUAGAGGAACUGCCCCGGUCAACGGGGAGGAAGGCGGGGAUGACGUCAAGUCAUCAUGCCCCUUACGUCCUGGGCUACACACGUGCUACAAUGGCCGGUACAAAGGGAUGCCACACCGCGAGGUAGAGCUAAACCCAAAAAGCCGGUCUAAGUUCAGAUUGGAGUCUGCAACUCGACUCCAUGAAGGAGGAAUCGCUAGUAAUCGCGUAUCAGCACGACGCGGUGAAUACGUUCCCGGGCCUUGUACACACCGCCCGUCACACCACGAAAGCCAGUUGUACUCGAAGUCGCUGAG